CUGCCCCGCAAUUACCUCCUCGCGUCGCGACGUCCUCCGCCCCUGAUUCCUCUCUCCUCGCCGCAGCCCCCGUCCCCGUCCCCUUCCCCCUGUCGAAGCUCUGCCGCCCCCGCUGCGACGAUCAAAGCUCCGCCAUCCCCGUCCUGUACUCCCUUGGAAAAGAUCGUUUUUUUCGACGGGAGGAGUAAUUCCGGCCUAGAUCCGGUGGUGGCGAUGCCGGAUCCUGCGACGGCGCCGACGCGAGCCACCAAGGGCAACGCAUGCCGUGGACCCCCUCUCCGGCUGCGCUUCCGCGAAACCCUAGCGGCUCCGCGUCCCGGCGACCAUCUCCGAGGCGGACAGCCAUCCCCGUCCCGUACUCCCUUGAAAAGAUCGAUUUUUUUCGACGUGAGGAGUAAUUCCGGCUUAAUCCGGUGGUGGCGGUGCCGGAUCCUGUGACGGCGCCGACGCGAGCCGCCAAGGGCAUCGCAUACCGUGGACUCCCUCUCCGGCUGCGCUUCCGCGAAACCCUAGCGGCUCGGCGUCCCGGCGACCAUCUGUAGCAGCCCGAGAAGGCCCGGACAAAUUCUUGGAGCAGUACGCCCGCCGCUCCAGCAACUUUCCUCACCGCCGUCCGUCGUCAUCAAGGUUCUCUCGGUGGUCGGAAUUUUGCAAGAUGAAGUUGAUCCUAUUCUUUCUACCAUGAAAAUUGAAAUGGCACCUUUGGAGUCUUGUGCUGACGUUGGUGGUUUAGAUGCUCAAAUUCAAGAGAUCAAACUAUACGAGGACAUUGGAUUCAGGCCUCCCAAGGGAGUCAUACUGUUUGGGGAACAGAGAAAGCUCUACUUGCAAAGGUAGACAGGCAGAUGGUCUCUCUUGCAUUCCGCUUCUCGAGGGUAAAAACUCCAAAGGAAAGAGCUCAUGUAGACUUGGAAACCCACUAUACUAAGGAAUACCUUGAUGAGAAAUUUGAGUCCUGCACAAGGAGAGCAAUCCCCUACAGAGUGGAAUAUGUGAAGAACAUAUCGUCUUCAGGGAUGCAGUCUAGUUGUGGCUUUGUAAGAAAUGGAUUUACACUUUAUCUGUUAGACAUAUGAGUGCCAUGUCCUGUGUUUCUCAGAUAUUUGUAGAACAAUCAGUUAACUCGUGAUAUCAAUGUCUUAGCCAAUCUCCCCCUUUCCGAUCUGUAAGUAAUCAACAUGUCAUUCAUUUAUGCUUUAUUAUUUAUAUACAUAUGCAUUAUCAUCUCAUAUCUCGCUUACCUGUUGGAAUAUUGCAAAUAACAGUUUCACCGGUUGGAUUCCUAGCGAGUCUCUUAAUUUUUUAACAUGCAAUUGUUAUAGAGCUAUAUCCUAAACUAUUAUUGUUCUUAUAUGUAGGACUGAUGGUAAUCCUUGGACUACGGAACAUGCUGUGCACUGGACAACCUGCUCCUCCUGCGCGUACCCCCUCUGGGAUAAGUCCACUUGCGAAGAUGCAUACUAGGCAGCUGAUGAUGAAGUGGCGCUGAGAAAUGGAGUUGCAUAAAAAAUAUUGCUGGGAUACUAUGCAGUACUCCUAGUAAUAAGUGAGGUCCAUUCUUUUCUCAAGGCCCAAAUUGCAAUGCAGGCAUCAUAAGCUUUCCAAGCUUUGAGACAAAGUUCAGGAAUGGAGCCUUGCCAAAUGCCAAGACAGAAUUAAAAUAAUGUCUCUGCAAAUACCCCCUCCAUCCGAAAAUACUUGUCAAGAGACUCCUGCAAGUAUUUCCGGACGGGAGGGAGUAUCUGGUUAUGUAUUUGGCAAAUUCUUUCUCAUGACCCAGAUUGCGAUGAAGGCAUCAUAAGUUGAUAAUUCAAAGCUUUGGUGACAGAGUUAGUGAGUUGAGGCAUAAAUGGAGCCUUGCCAGGUGCCAAGACACAGCUGAAAUAAUUUUCCUGUAUCUCCUGUCUUAAAUUAUGAGCACAUGCUACAAUAUUUUUACCAAAAUAAUUUUCCUGUA
Molecule: long non-coding RNA, 1957 nt
Organism: Triticum aestivum (bread wheat)
Lineage: Eukaryota; Viridiplantae; Streptophyta; Magnoliopsida; Poales; Poaceae
Exons: 7
Source: RefSeq, a predicted model, not a curated record